UACAGAGGGUGCAAGCGUUGUCCGGAAUGAUUGGGCGUAAAGCGUUCGUAGGUGGUUCUUAAAGUCUACUGUUAAAUCCCAGGGCUCAACCUUGGACAGGCAGUGGAGUACUCAAGAGCUUGAGGACGGUAGGGGUAGAGGGAAUUCCCAGUGUAGCGGUGAAAUGCACAGAGAUUGGGAAGAACACCAGUGGCGAAAGCGCUCUACUAGGCCGUAUCUGACACUGAGGGACGACAGCUGGGGGAGCAAA
This 250-nucleotide ribosomal RNA is filed under the name uncultured bacterium. RNAcentral's name for it is "partial 16S ribosomal RNA". It matches the Rfam family "Bacterial small subunit ribosomal RNA", at positions 524 to 772 of the family's 1533-position model. The record is from RNAcentral.